GACGAACGCUGGCGGCGUGCUUAACACAUGCAAGUCGAACGGAAAGGCCCUGCUUUUGUGGGGUGCUCGAGUGGCGAACGGGUGAGUAACACGUGAGUAACCUGCCCUUGACUUUGGGAUAACUUCAGGAAACUGGGGCUAAUACCGGAUAGGAGCUCCUGCUGCUUGGUGGGUGUUGGAACGUUUCGGCGGUUGGGGAUGGACUCGCGGCUUAUCAGCUUGGUGGUGGGGUAGUGUCUUACCAAGGCUUUGACGGGUAGCCGGCCUGAGAGGGUGACCGGACACAUUGGGACUGAGAUACGGCCCAGACUAAUACGGGAGGCAGCAGUGGGGAAGAUUGCACAAUGGGCGGAAGCCUGAUGCAGCAACGCCGCGUGCGGGAUGACGGCAUGCGGGUUGUAAACCGAUGUCGCCUGUGACGAAGAGUGAGUGACGGUAAUGGGUAAAGAAGCACCGGCUAACUACGUG
RNAcentral lists this ribosomal RNA (468 nucleotides) under uncultured bacterium. RNAcentral's name for it is "partial 16S ribosomal RNA". It matches the Rfam family "Bacterial small subunit ribosomal RNA", at positions 28 to 507 of the family's 1533-position model. The record is from RNAcentral.